RNAcentral lists this non-coding RNA (21 nucleotides) under Caenorhabditis elegans. Lineage: Eukaryota; Metazoa; Nematoda; Chromadorea; Rhabditida; Rhabditidae. The record is from RNAcentral.
UUAUCUCAUAAUUUUCUGAUA